RNAcentral lists this ribosomal RNA (423 nucleotides) under uncultured bacterium. RNAcentral describes it as "bacterial SSU rRNA". It matches the Rfam family "Bacterial small subunit ribosomal RNA", at positions 493 to 917 of the family's 1533-position model. The record is from RNAcentral.
ACGCUCGACAGUGUCAGCAGCCGCGGUAAUACGUAGGUGGCAAGCGUUGUCCGGAAUUACUGGGUGUAAAGGGAGUGUAGGCGGGAUAUCAAGUCAGAAGUGAAAAUUACGGGCUCAACUCGUAACCUGCUUUUGAAACUGACAUUCUUGAGUGAAGUAGAGGCAAGCGGAAUUCCUAGUGUAGCGGUGAAAUGCGUAGAUAUUAGGAGGAACACCAGUGGCGAAGGCGGCUUGCUGGGCUUUUACUGACGCUGAGGCUCGAAAGCGUGGGGAGCAAACAGGAUUAGAUACCCUGGUAGUCCACGCCGUAAACGAUGAUUACUAGGUGUGGGGGGAUUGACCCCUUCCGUGCCGGAGUAAACACAAUAAGUAAUCCACCUGGGGAGUACGACCGCAAGGUUGAAACUUAAAGGAAUUGACGGG